Molecule: ribosomal RNA, 274 nt
Filed under: Clostridioides difficile
Lineage: Bacteria; Bacillati; Bacillota; Clostridia; Peptostreptococcales; Peptostreptococcaceae
Description: partial 16S ribosomal RNA
Rfam family: Bacterial small subunit ribosomal RNA
Source: RNAcentral
UUUAAUUCGAAGCAAGCGAAGAACCUUACCUAAGCUUGACAUCCCAAUGACAUCUCCUUAAUCGGAGAGUUCCCUUCGGGGACAUUGGUGACGGGUGGUGCAUGGUUGUCGUCAGCUCGUGUCGUGAGGUGUUGGGUUAAGUCCCGCAACGAGCGCAACCCUUGUCUUUAGUUGCCAUCAUUAAGUUGGGCACUCUAGAGAGACUGCCAGGGAUAACCUGGAGGAAGGUGGGGAUGACGUCAAAUCAUCAUGCCCCUUAUGCUUAGGGCUACAC